RNAcentral lists this long non-coding RNA (744 nucleotides) under Cavia porcellus (domestic guinea pig). Its description in RNAcentral is "lncRNA (ENSCPOG00000033655.1)". The record is from RNAcentral. Lineage: Eukaryota; Metazoa; Chordata; Mammalia; Rodentia; Caviidae.
CCCCCUUUGGCCUGGUUUCAGCUGCUCCUGGAACAUCUGGAGUUCCUUGUCUCCAGGCAUGAACGCUCUCUUGAGACGACUGUGAUGAAGCGGCAGGCGCGGUGUCCUGCAGGUGUGUCCACUGAGAUGGAAGUGCUAAAAGCACUGACAUCCUUAUUUGAGCACCACAAGACCCUGGACGAAAAGGUGCGAGACCAAUUACGUGUAGCACUGGAAAGGUGCAGCUUGUUAGAAGAGGAACUGGGCGCCACACACAAGGAGCUAAUGACUCUUAAAAAACAGAAUAAUCAGAAAAAAUCACCAAGAGAUGGAGUGCUUGACAUAAACCACGAACAAGAAGAAACACCAAGCACUAAUGGAAAGGUAAGUCCUUGAGCUCUCUCUUUGUUCUGUUGCUGAUUUCUUAUAUUUCGUGGUUCCUGUGUGAUGCUGUUUGGAUGCUGUUGCUGGAAUGGCCUGCAUCCAGCUAAAGUGAUUGUUGAGAGUCCUAUCAUCCAACAGAUGGCAUAAAUCCAUUUUGAUAGUCCCUAUGUUCAAAAGUAUUUUAUUUGGUAGUACACUAAGGUUAUUUAAGAGUGUCCAUUUUACCCAUCAGAGAUCUUCUGCUGGCUCCUUAAGCCAUGAGGAAGACCUUGCCAAAUUAAUUGUGCUCCAAGAAGUCAUACACAAACAUUCAAAAGAGCAGAGUCAGAUGAAGGAGCGCCUGGCUGCACUUUCCAGCCAUGUGUCAGAGCUGCAAGAAAA